GGUGAUGGACAGGGAGGCCUGGCAUGCUGUGAUUCAUGGGGUCGCAAAGAGUCAGACACGACUGAGCGACUGAACUGAAACCAAAGUUAAACACGUCCCAACUCAGCUUCCUGGAUUCCCCAGAUUCCCACAGCCACUCUAGAGCUACGUGCUUAGAGAGGAAGUGUAUCUGAGUGGAAGACAGAUAGAAGCUAACUGACAUGACAGUAUCUUCCUUUUUUGACUGUACAGCUUGUGGGAUCUUAGUUCCCUAAACAAGGAUUGAACCCUUGCUGCCUAAAAUGGAAGUGAUGAGUCCUAAUCUCUGAACCACCAAGGAAUUACUUAAGAUGUUCUGCAGUCUGAAGAUCGGGUUGUCAGGACUACAUUGUUAGGACCCUACCCGGAGCCUUGAGAGGGGUCAUAAACAAGCUGCAUUAGCUUUGUGGUUUAUCUGCCUCUGUACCUUUAUUCUGCCAAAAUCUGUAUAUGUGGUUCCUUCUUGUUCACAGAGUUGAUUUGAUCUACUAGAGUAUGUGAAUUUUUUGUGAAAACUCUGGGGAUAAGGAAGAGCUCAUUUGGAAAAUUAGGUAAAGCUGAGUAAAGCAAAAGAGUAACCCAGGGAGUUGGGAAUGUCUUUUAGACUGUCUUGGAGUUUGAAUUGUUUUGUUUUGUCUUUUGGGAGGCCUCACUUUUUCAAUAAAAGAAACCAGUGUUGUCUA
Capra hircus (goat) is the source of this 701-nucleotide long non-coding RNA. RefSeq lists it as uncharacterized. The transcript is spliced from 2 exons. The record is from RefSeq and is a predicted model, not a curated record. Lineage: Eukaryota; Metazoa; Chordata; Mammalia; Artiodactyla; Bovidae.